UUUCUUGAGUGAGCGAGAAGUAUGCGGAAUGCGUGGUGUAGCGGUGAAAUGCAUAGAUAUCACGCAGAACUCCGAUUGCGAAGGCAGCAUACCGGCGCUCAACUGACGCUUAUGCACGAAAGUGUGGGUAUCGAACAGGAUUAGAUACCCUGGUAGUCCACACAGUAAACGAUGAAUACUAAUUGUUCGGGGAGAAUGAUCCCUGAGUGAUACAGCGAAAGCGUUAAGUAUUCCACCUGGGGAGUACGCCGGCAACGGUGAAACUCAAAGGAAUUGACGGGGGCCCGCACAAGCGGAGGAACAUGUGGUUUAAUUCGAUGAUACGCGAGGAACCUUACCCGGGCUCAAACGACGGAUGGAUGUUUCUGAAAGGAGGCAGUCCUACGGGACAUCCGUCGAGGUGCUGCAUGGUUGUCGUCAGCUCGUGCCGUGAGGUGUCGGCUUAAGUGCCAUAACGAGCGCAACCCCCAUCGCCAGUUACCAGCAAGUAAAGUUGGGGACUCUGGCGAGACUGCCGGCGCAAGCUGUGAGGAAGGCGGGGAUGACGUCAAAUCAGCACGGCCCUUACGUCCGGGGCGACACACGUGUUACAAUGGCAGGUACAGAGAGAUGCGAUGUGGCGACGCAGAGCGGAACUUCAAAGCCUGUCUCAGUUCGGAUCGGAGUCUGCAACCCGACUCCGUGAAGCUGGAUUCGCUAGUAAUCGCGCAUCAGCCACGGCGCGGUGAAUACGUUCCCGGGCCUUGCACUCACCGCCCGUCAAG
This 764-nucleotide ribosomal RNA is filed under the name uncultured bacterium. RNAcentral's name for it is "bacterial SSU rRNA". It matches the Rfam family "Bacterial small subunit ribosomal RNA", at positions 638 to 1401 of the family's 1533-position model. The record is from RNAcentral.